RNAcentral lists this unclassified non-coding RNA (349 nucleotides) under soil metagenome. RNAcentral describes it as "partial contains 5.8S ribosomal RNA, internal transcribed spacer 2, and large subunit ribosomal RNA". The stretch from base 1 to 120 matches the Rfam family "5.8S ribosomal RNA", at positions 35 to 154 of the family's 154-position model. The record is from RNAcentral.
GAUGAAGAACGCAGCGAAAUGCGAUAACUAAUGUGAAUUGCAGAAUUCCGUGAAUCAUCGAGUCUUUGAACGCACAUUGCGCCCCCUGGUAUUCCGGGGGGCAUGCCUGUCCGAGCGUCAUUGCUGCCCAUCAAGCACGGCUUGUGUGUUGAGUCCUCGUCCCCCCCGGGGGACGUGCCCGAAAGGCAGCGGCGGCACCGCGUCCGGUCCUCGAGCGUAUGGGGCUUUGUCACCCGCUCUGCAGGCCCGGCCGGCGCUGGCCGACGCGAAAGCAACCAUUUUUUCUCCAGGUUGACCUCGGAUCAGGUAGGGAUACCCGCUGAACUUAAGCAUAUCAAUAAGCGGAGGA